RNAcentral lists this long non-coding RNA (4846 nucleotides) under Gossypium barbadense (sea-island cotton). Its description in RNAcentral is "long non-coding RNA (GBAR_LNC023064)". The record is from RNAcentral. Lineage: Eukaryota; Viridiplantae; Streptophyta; Magnoliopsida; Malvales; Malvaceae.
UAUUUCACCAAUUUUAUUUAUUAGCUAUUCUUUUGUUCCUUACUUCAUCGUAGAUGAUCGGACGACACAAAUACGACUCGACUCAACACCGAGGCGGUUCGUAUCAUUCAAUUUCGUGUUCUUGGCUUCCAAGAAUCCCCUAUUAAUAAGUGUUUUGAGUUUUGAUUGAUUCUUUAUUGUUUUGGAGUUUUUGUUUCAGAUCUGGAAUUUUAAGAUUUAAAUUGGAUUUAAAAAAAAAACACACUCAUUCCAAUGGAUGGAUAAUGAAUAAUAAGAAAGUGUUGGGCAGGCCCAUUUUUAUGCCAAUUCAUUUGAGUGAUGAAAUUAUAUAAAUCUUUUGUAGAUGGUGGUAGAAAAUUGGAGUUGACCCACUUGGAAGAGCUUUAUUUAGAUUACAAUCACUUCAAUACUAGUGUAUUUGCAUCCCUUAACAAGCUUUCAAAUUUGAAAUCGUUGAGCAUAAGGGUCAAUCAAUUGAAAGGAUCAAUAGAUAUGAAAGGUAAAAAUAUUAGUCUUUUUAACAAGAAUAUAAUCAUGUUUGAAGAGAAUAUAAUGAAAUUGAUUUGUUGUUUUUUGUUUUCCUAGAUUUGGAUGCAUUUAUCAACUUAAGGGAACUAUAUAUGAGCGACAAUGAAUUGAAAAAUUUUGUGAUCCACCAAGGUAUCAUUUAAUUAAACUUCCUUUUUUUUUCUAAUUUAGAAAUUUAGUUUUGAUCUCAAAUGUUAUAAUAACUAAUAAAGAUAUAUCAUAUCAUACUUGAAAGUAAAAUAUGGGUUUGGUGAAACAUUUUCUAAAUCCUCCAUUAUUAUGUGUUUCGACUUUGGUUUGAAACUAAAAUUCUUUAAAAUUUUCAUUAUUUUUAAAUAUUAAUGUUUAUAAUUAUUUUGUUUCUAUAAAUAUAUAUAUUUUUAAAUAAUUUAUUGAAUUUUUAUGAGAUAAAAAAUAAUUAUAACAAUAAAAAAAUGAUAUUAUAAAUAAAUAAAAACAUAUAUUUAUGAGAAAAUAUGUAAUAUAACUAUAUUUUAAUUUCAUAUAUUUUUAAUAGUAUAAAACAUAAAAAUACAUAUUAGAGUUAAAUAAAUGGCAUUUUUUGGAAAAAAUAAAUAAAUGUCAAUUUUGAAUAAUUUAAAAAAAUCUUCAAUUUUAUGAAAUUUAAACAUACAUUUAGAGGUGCUUAAACUUCCAUUGCAAACUUUUUAUAAAUUUCAAAAUGCACAUGUUAUUAACAUAGGUCUACAUACUCUUUACAAAUUUGUAAUUUAAUUCUUAUACUUUUAUUUUCAGGAAUUUAGUCCCUCUAUUUUUUUAAAAUUUCAAAAUCCAAGUUCAAUUAUUAAAAUUGUUAAUUUUUUAAAAUAAUUUGUUGGUGUAACAUUUUGAAGUUAAAAAAAACUUGGUAGCAAUGUAACUAAAAAAUGAUAUAAUGAACAUGGAUUUAAUAAAAUAAUUUUAACAGUAUUAAUAAUUAGACUUGAAUUUUGAAAUUUCACGUUUGUAAAGAGUAAAAGGGAGAUAUGACAUAUUUUAACUUAACUCUGGCCAAUAUUUAGUGCUUUAAAAUUUUCAUUUAAUCCACUGAGUUUACUUAAAAUUCUUUUGACUUUUAUUUAUUGGUGAGUAAAAUAUCAAUUUGAUUUUUUUUUAUAAAGUAUUGGUAACUUUAAAGGUAAUAUAAUAAUUUUAGUGUAGACAUGUUUUAUUUUAUAAAUAUUAUUUAUUGUGUUGUUGAGUGGAGUUUGAAAAUUAUACGAAUUAGCUAUAUCAGCUAAUUACUUAUAUUCAAAAAUAAUAUAAGAAAAUACUUAAAAAAAGUAUAAUUAAUAAAAUGGAUGAAGAGUUAUAUUAAAGAUUCAACAUCUUUCUCUCUAUCAAAAUUUAUCUCGGAUAAAUCAUGAAUAAUCUAACUCAUAAAAAAGAAAACAAAUAUUUAUAUAUUUCAUUUCAUUCACAGAAAAUAAAGCAUUCCACUUAGUAAAGGCUUUCUAUAAUACUAUUAUCUAAUACCUCUUGACAUUGCUUAGAUUCAAAUAAUUAUAACAAUAAAAACAAUGAUAUUAUAAAUAAAAAUACAUAUAUUUUUAAUAGUAUAAAACAUAAAAAUACACAUUAGAAUUAAAUAAAUGGCAUUUUUUGGCCAAAAAUAAAUAAAUGUCAAUUUUGAAUAAUUUAAAAAAAACUUCAAUUUUAUGAAAUUUAAACAUACAUUUUGAGGUGCUUAAAUUUUUUUUUUCAAACUUUUUAUAAACUUCAAAUUGCACAUGUAGUUAACUUUUUGGUUUAAAAAAUUGUGAUAGGUCUACGUACUCUUUACAAAUUUUUAAUUUAAUUCUUGUAUUUUUAUUUUCGGGAAUUUGAUCCCUUUAUUUUUUAAAUUUCAAAAUCCAAGUUCAAUUGUUAACAUUGUUAUUUUUUAAAGUAAUUUAUUGGUGUUGACAUUUUGAAACAGAAGAACUUGGUAGCGAUGUAACUAAAAGAUGACGUAAUGAACAUGGAUUUAAUAAAAUAAUUUCAACAGUAUUAAUAGUUAGACCUGAAUUUUGAAAAUUUAUAUUUGUAAAGAGAAAAAUAUGCACAUUAGAUUUAAAUAAAAAAUAAUAUUUUUUUAGUUUAAAAUUUUCUAUUUUAUAAUAGAACCAUGCAUUUAAAUAAAUGAGAUUUUGAAGAAUUUCCAGAAAAAAAAAAACUAUGAAGGUGAAAUUUAAAUAAAGAAUUUGAGAAGCUAAAAGUCUCUUUCGGAAUUCAUAAAUUUUAAAAUUCAAAGGGAUGUAUUUUGACAAUUUUAGGGCAAUGAUUUAGUGCUUUAAAAUUUUGAUUUAAUAUGGAGAAUUUAAUUAAAAAAUUUAUUUAUUAGAUUGUAAAAUAUUUCUUAACAUUUUUAAUUGAGUACAAAGUAAAUUAAGUUUAAGGGAAAAUAUUUGGUAUUAUGAAUGAAAUUCCUUUUUUUUUAAUUAAAAAAAAUCUGGUUUUUUUUUUUUUAAAUCUGGGUGGUACUAUUAAUGAAAUUCUGGACUUUAUAAGUAGGGUUGAGAUAAUAACAAAUAUCUUAUAUGUUAUAGUAAAAUAUUAAAAAAGAAAUAUUUAAAAGUAGGUUACUGAUCAUUUUUUAACUUCACUUGUAGAGUUAAAAAACUCCAUUACCAGCGUUAAAUACUAAUAUUAAGGUUAAAUGCUAAAUUGAUUUCAAACAUAUUUGAGUUUUUAAAAGAAUAUGCUCAUAUAUUUAAAUCUGAUAUGAAUCAAGAAAAAAAUAUUUUCAGUGGCUCAUUAAAUUGGAAAUUAUUGAUAUAAGCUGGAAUUAUUUGAAGAAUAGCAUUCUUUAAAAUAAAUUCAUGUUGAAGGAAAAGUUAUUUGAAGUUAUUUGAUUUUAUCAUAUCAUGAAUAUUUGGGAUUGAAUUUCAAAAUUGAGUAAAUUAAGUAGGAAGGAAUCUCAAACAAAGUAUUUAUAUAUUGAAUCAAUUAAGUUUUACUUGUAAAAUGUAGUUAUCAAUUCAUGGGAAAGCUUGUAAAUUGGCUCUUCCUUCUCAAACAAUCAUUUUUCCUAACUAUUUAUGUAUGCUCGAGUUUGAUUUUAUCUUACGAUGAAUAUAUAUAACUAAUCAAUAUUUGGGAUUGAAUUUCAGGAUUGAAUAAUUUGACAAAUUUGAAGUACUUGGAUUUAAGUUGGAACGACAUUGAAAGCAUCUCAAACAAAGGUAUAAGUAUUUCUGCAAAACUUUCUUGACCGACUCUUAUUCCAAAAGGCAAUGACAGACUUCAAAUGUAUUUUCUUUAGUGAAUUUUUAUUGCAAAAAUGGAGUAUUAUUAUUUAUUUAUGUUUUGUAGUAACUAAUUAUAUAAUAUAUAAAUCAGGUUUUCAACGGCUCAUUAAAUUGGAAAUUAUUGAUAUAAGUUGGAAUUAUUUGAAGAAUAGAAUUCUUUAAAAUAAAUUCAUGUUGAAGGAAAAGUUGUUGCAAUAUGUUAUAUCAUGAAUAUAUAUAAGUAAUCAAUAUUUGGGAUUGAAUUUCAAAAUUGAGUAAUUUAAGUAGGAAGGUAUCUCAAACAAAGUAUUUAUAUAUUGAAUCAAUUAAGUUUUACUUGUAAAAUGUAGUUUAUCAAUUCAUGGGAAAGCUUGUAAAUUGGCUCUUCCUUCUCAAACAAUCAUUUUUCCUAACUAUUUAUAUCUUGAAUGAUAUUAUUUUCUUCCAAUGAUAGAUGGAACACAAUUGAGGCUAACAAACUUAGAGGAACUUUAUUUGGGUGGUAAUCUCUUUCGGAACAACACAAUUUCCUUUCUGCAAGGGCUUUCAAGCCUAAAGUCUUUGACUUUGUUCAACAGCCGUUUGCAAGGCUCAUUAGAUACUAAAGGUACUAAAGCUAUAACUUUGUUUUUCUUGAUAAUUCUUUCUAGAGCCUUUUAAAAUUAAUUGUUUCAAAUUUGAACAUUCACAUUUCACGUUUGAGGAUUUUUAUCUUCAAUUCAAGUUUUAGAUUUACUUUUUUUUUUCAUUUUUAUUUCAUUAAAAUAUUAAGUAGAAAUUAAAAUUAUUAACAUAAUGAUUUUUUAAAUUGUACGUGGAUAUGUAUAGGAUUGAGCAAUUUAACAAAUUUGAAGAAACUAGAUUUAAGUGGGAAUCAAAUUGAAAGCUUUCAAUCCUUUAAAGGUAUGCAUUUAUAUUUAACCAAUUACCUAAAUUCUUACAUAUAAUUAAAUUUUAUGCCAAUUCAUUUCAGUGAUGAAAUUAUAUAAAUCUUUUGUAGAUGGUGGUAGAAAAUUGGAGUUGACCCACUUGGAAGAGCUUUAUUUAGAUGGAAAUCACUUCAAUACUAGUGUAUUUGCAUCCCUUAACAAGCUUUCAAAUUUGAAAUC